Molecule: unclassified non-coding RNA, 309 nt
Filed under: uncultured fungus
Lineage: Eukaryota; Fungi
Description: partial contains 5.8S ribosomal RNA, internal transcribed spacer 2, and large subunit ribosomal RNA
Rfam family: 5.8S ribosomal RNA (bases 1-52)
Source: RNAcentral
AACGCACCUUGCGCUCCUUGGUAUUCCGAGGAGCAUGCCUGUUUGAGUGUCUUGAAGUCAUCAACUCCCCCUUUGCUUUUCGAAGGGCGGGGCUGGAUUUUGAGGGCCUUUGCUGCCGAAGGGCGGCUCCCUCCAAAUGCUUCGGUUGGGCCUGUGGGUCGAACUCGACUGGGCGUUGUACCAUCCUCGCUCGACUGAGAAGUUCCCCCGUCGCGCCCGACCCUCGACCGUCCCCGCAGGGUGGCGGUCAAAUGCGCAAGCCUUCUGAAAUCUGACCUCAAAUCAGGUAGGACUACCCGCUGAACUUAA